GCCUGGCUGGCUCAAUCAGUAGAGCAUGCAACUCUUGAUGUCAGGGUUGUGAGUUCAAGCCCCACGUUGGGCA
RNAcentral lists this transfer RNA (73 nucleotides) under Ursus americanus (American black bear). It matches the Rfam family "tRNA". From Rfam's summary of the family: Transfer RNA (tRNA) molecules are approximately 80 nucleotides in length. Their secondary structure includes four short double-helical elements and three loops (D, anti-codon, and T loops). Lineage: Eukaryota; Metazoa; Chordata; Mammalia; Carnivora; Ursidae. RNAcentral also lists the same sequence under 1 other name. The record is from Rfam by way of RNAcentral.